Molecule: ribosomal RNA, 468 nt
Filed under: uncultured bacterium
Lineage: Bacteria
Description: partial 16S ribosomal RNA
Rfam family: Bacterial small subunit ribosomal RNA
Source: RNAcentral
GACGAACGCUGGCGGCGUGCUUAACACAUGCAAGUCGAACGGAAAGGCCCUGCUUUUGUGGGGUGCUCGAGUGGCGAACGGGUGAGUAACACGUGAGUAACCUGCCCUUGACUUUGGGAUAACUUCAGGAAACUGGGGCUAAUACCGGAUAGGAGCUCCUGCUGCAUGGUGGGGGUUGGAAAGUUUCGGCGGUUGGGGAUGGACUCGCGGCUUAUCAGCUUGUUGGUGGGGUAGUGGCUUACCAAGGCUUUGACGGGUAGCCGGCCUGAGAGGUGGACCGGCCACAUUGGUACUGAGAUACGGCCCAGACUCCUACGGGAGGCAGCAGGGGGGAAUAUUGCACAAUGGGCGGAAGCCUGAUGCAGCAACGCCGCGUGCGGGAUGCCGGCCUUCGGGUUGUAAACCGCUUUCGCCUGUGACGAAGCGUGAGUGACGGUAAUGGGUAAAGAAGCACCGGCUAACUACGUG